This 4704-nucleotide long non-coding RNA is filed under the name Homo sapiens (human). RNAcentral describes it as "HSALNT0349564". The record is from RNAcentral. Lineage: Eukaryota; Metazoa; Chordata; Mammalia; Primates; Hominidae.
CCGCCGCACGCGGGCGGGGCUGGGAGCGCGCGCCCGAGAGGCGCGUGGGGCACCCGCCGCAAAGAGGAGCCUGCUGGUCUGCUGGCGGGCAGGCGGCGCUGGGCCGGAGCCUCUCCCUCCGGUGCGCACAGCGCACCCUCUCCUCCCCCGGCCGCCCGUCGCAGCGCGGAGAGGGCGUGUCGGCACCCUGCCUGGCGAGCGCCCACCCCUACAAUGGCUGCGAGCGCGCGGGACGGAGGGUGCACCGCCGCUCCCCGGGGACUUGCACGGGUGGCGCGCCUAGCCCAGAGCCCGCUUGUAGUGAGCGCUCAGUAGGGCGGGAAAGCUGCUGCCGCUACUGCGGCCUUCUGAGAAGACGCCCAUUCUCUGAUGUCAGGACUGCAUCGCCGAGUCCUGAUUGCAAAUAGCGAAAUAUAUAAUUAAGGAGAGUUCGGGGGCGUAUCCUGCAAUGGGAUGCCGAGUUCGAUAAAGUUGCAGGAUGCUGGGAAAGUGGAUUGAUUUGCUGUUGCUAAAUGAAUGGAAACAGCGUUAGAGCUUCUGUCCACGAUCCAUCAGUCUAUCGAGAUUGCUGAUUGCCUAUGACUUGGACGGUUGAUGGUUUUCAGGCCCACUGAGAGCAGCCAGCGUUGGUAUAACCGCAGGGAGCCCUCCUGGGAGGUUGAACCUGCAGAGCGCAAAUGUGCCCAGGUUGAUUUGGGGCCUAGUGGUCCAUUUUCACAGCUCCACUGCCUAUCUGCAUAACCAGGAGCCCUCAUUCAGAUGAACGCCAAAUGGGCCAGAGGGAGGAGAAUCAAAUGAGCAACUUUUAAAAGAUAUUAAGACAUAGGCACCUAACUCCGGACAGUUCCUUUAACCCUUGAGCUAACCAUUUGAAGCACAAAACAUAACAAAAGAAAAGACUGGGGGGAGUGGGGCCAAAAGAAACCAAGUGCAAAAUUCUGUACACUUGUGUCAGAUUCACUCCGUAAUGGGAAAAGGUCUGGCUUUGAAAACUUUAUGGAUCAAAGGGAUGCAUGGAGUUACACAGCACAGCUGCAGAAGAUAAUGUUCCCCUGGAUCACUCUGCCCAACUCUUAACUGCAACCCACCUUCCCCAUCCGUCUCCCCGAAAUCACCCGGAAGGGUGUUACCUUCAGGAAGUAACUGAUCUCUUGAUCACCCCUGCUGGAUCCUGUCCCCAAGGGCGUUCGAAUGCAUCCGACUCAUCUUCACCUUGCCAAUAACGGGUGCUUGACACAUCGUUUGCUGCCAAUCAUUAUUGUGAUUUUAAUACUAUUGGUAUUCUAACUAUCAAGAUGACUGCUUGUAGAGCCAGAUUGCCUGGAUUCAAACUCCAGUUCACAACCUACUAACUGUAUGCCUUUAGGUAUGUUACUUAACCUUUCUGGGCCUCAGUUUCCUCAUCCAUCUGUAAAUGGGGAUAAUGAUGGCUUCUACCUGAUAGGGCUGUUCUGAACAUUACAUGAGCUGAUCGAUGAAAGCACUUCAAGUGGUACCUGGCAUCUCGUAAACUCAGAUGCCUCUGAUGGAUUCGAAAUAACCAGAUAUAUUUCUGAAUUGCUUCAUAUGGGGGUAAUGCUAUUUACCUGGGAUCCUAUCCAGCAGCUUCAAAGGUGGUGGCAGCCAUUACCCGACUAAUGAGCACAACACCCCUGGCUCCCUGUCUUCAAGGCAGGAAGAUGCUGUGAUGCACAUCAGGAGAUGGAGGGAAAAGAAAUGACUUGCCCACCUGAGUGGCAGAAACAGUUGGGAAAAGAGAUUAAGGAAGGGAUGGUGCUGUUGGCUCCAGGCAGUGACUCAAGGAGGCAUUCAUGGUGAAAGAAGAAAGGCCUUUCUCAGGUGAUGCUUCAUCUUCCCCCACGUGCUCUGAUACCCUGUCCCUGCCUUGAUGUGUCUAUAAAUACAAACAGCAGGAGACCCGCAUCAGUAGACAAAGCAGGUGGCUGCAACCUAUUCUUCUUCCCAAUGGCCACUGGGACAGUUCCUCUCCCCCAGAACUUGUUGUUUAUAUUUAUUUUACACUAAAGCUAUUUUAACAUAAACCUGUUGAAAUAGGAGAGGGCUUCCCAUCUCACACCUCCACAGAUGUGUAUUUUCUAGAACAAAUUCAAGACUAAUCAUAAAAUGAAAACAGAUUUCCACAAAGUUGUUCUUUAUAAUGUAAAUUUUUUUCUGACAGGCAGCUUAAUACUUCAAAGGGCAACCCAUUCCUUUAUUGAUUAUAACUAAUUGUUUGAGAUUUUCUUUAGCAUGAGUUGAAAUUUUUCUUCCUUUGUCAAAGUGAAGGAAGGGACUUGUAUACAAGGAAGGUCCUUGUAUAAAGGACCUAUCAUCAAGGUACCAUCUCUCUUUAAACUUUAACUCCCAGAGGAGAAAUACCUAUAGCCACACAAUUCAUGUACUUUUUAGUCAUUGGAUCUCUAUGACUAUUAUCAUUAUAGAAACUGUUUUAAUAUAAUAAUAAUUUGAAAACUGGAUUUUAAGAAUACAAAUUUAGAAAUAGCAGUUCUCUCUAGAGACUCAUUCAUGAAUAUGGAAAGAUCUUUUAUCAGAUAAUUCCCCCCAGGGGUCCUUUAAAUAGCAAUCUCCUUCGUUUUGAUUCAAUUUGUAGAAAUCCCAUCUAGAUGCAUUACUGGACCACACAUUGUGUAAAGGAAGGUACAUUAUGUGUUGGGUAACCAUUUGGCUCUCUCUUUCUUCCCAACUUGUGACUAAUUGAUUUUGCCAUUAAUUGGGAUUUCCCCUGGAGGCCAUUUGAUCUGUUUGCAGGAUGAGCAGGGAGUUAGGGCAGUCCCUCCAGAUGGGACGGCUUUCAAUAAGCAGACAGUCCAAAGGGGCAUCAGAGUGAUACAGAAACGAUUAAUUGAAUAACUCACUUGAAAAUCAUGUGCUGCUUUAAAGACCUAAAAGCUAAGUAAAUACCUAAGUAAAGGCCAUACUGAUCAAGUAAGACUCCUUGUUGCAGCCUGGCUGAGAAUAAUGCCAGGAAAAAAAAAAUUUAAGAGCAUCCCAUUAAUGGAUUCUUUAAAAUACUGGAAGCAUGAUUCCAGGCAAUAACAUACUGUAAUCCCCAUAAUACUCACAUUUGCAUAACUCUAGAUAAUUUAUGAAGCAUUUUCGCAGAUACUGUGCAGAUCUCACACUGACACGGGGGUGGGUUGGCUGUGAAAGGGCUCAACUGGACUUACAUUCCAGGAGCAGAAACAGGCUUGGAGCUGUGGACUUCUCAGAGGCAUACAACUAGUAAGUGGCAGAAAUAUUACCAGAACCCAAAACUUCUAAUUCUAAAUUUCUUGACAACACACAGCACCAUCUCCCCAGUGCAUCACAGCUAAAACCACCUUACUGGACUCUGUUUUACCCUGGAGAAGAAAUGCAUACUGACUGAGGACUCUGCUCCAUGCCUGGCAAAAUAUUUGUAUUAUUUUUACAAGUAUGUUUUAGUUUUAUACAGAUAAAUACAAUUUUAAAUGGUUAAAGAUGGCCUCAUAUUUAAAAAGCACAUUGGGAGCCACUGUGUUAGAUUAUGCAGUGCAGACAUAGAGAACCAAAAGGCUAUGUGUGGUGGGAAUAGUGAGGCAGAACAAGAACUUUCUAGAAAAGGAAAGAAAGGAGAGAACCUGUGGAGCGGAGCUGGGAACCAGGCUGGAGAGGAGAGGGAAUAGCUGUCCAGGAGCAGCUAUGCAUGUAAACUAGACAUGAGGCUCUAUUUUAUCGAGAAUUUUCCUUCUCUUAUCUCUACAUGCCCUUUCCCACUACCACCUAGCAGUCAGCUUUAUCCCCUGAGAGGACUUAGGGAAAUGGAAGGAGGAGAGGAGCUGACUUUGUCUACCUAAUAAGAGAAGGACAAGGGGAAGCCAUUAUCCUGACCUUUCUGUCUCCCCAGGAAAUGGGUAUCUACCUCUUUGCAUUUGUUUACUAAGAAAGGCUAUUCAAGUGAUUUUUCCUAGAAUAAUGAAAGAUGUUUCUAGAAGGUUUGCUUUCUCCCCAACACAAAGAAGCAGCCAGGAAUUCCUAAAUAUCAAGCUUUUUUAAAAAAAUUCCAUUUCACCAGGCAAUCCACUAUGCACGUGAGAACAGCACCUACUUCAUAUGCUUGUUGUAAGAUGUAAUCAAGACCACGUACCUAAGCUGUUUACACAGGGGCAGGCACAAGUUAGGCAUACCAUGAACAUUUGUGUCUUAGUCUGUUUUCUGCUGCUAUAACAGAAUACCUGAGAUGGAUUAAUUUAUAAACAAUAGAAGUUUAUUUGGCUCACCGUUCAGGAGAUUGGAAAGUCUAAGAGCAUGGUGCCUGCAUCUGGUGAAGGCCUUCAUGUUGUGUCAUCCCAUGGCAGAAGGUGGAAGGCAACAAAGGGCAGCAGUGAGCAAGCAAGAGGAGGCUGGACUCGCUUUUAUAACAAAGGUACUCUGGAGAUAAAUUACCCACUCCUGUGAUAACAACAUUAAUCCAUUCAUGAGGGCGGAGCCCUCUGACCUAAUCACCUUUUAUUAGGCCCCACCUCCCAAAAACUGUUGCAUGGGAUUAAGUUUCCAAAACAUGAACUUUGGGGAACACAUGCAAACAAUAGCAAUUUAUAAAUAAGGACCAAAAUUUGUUGAGGACUUAACAGGUGAACCCAAGAGCUACAAUGGGGCUCCAGGCACAAUCUUUGUCUUCAAGGGGUAUAUUAGUCUGUUCUCCUGCUGCUAAUAAAGACAUAC